This is a long non-coding RNA of Triticum aestivum (bread wheat), 1782 nucleotides long. RefSeq lists it as uncharacterized. The transcript is spliced from 6 exons. NCBI's taxonomy places the organism in Eukaryota, Viridiplantae, Streptophyta, Magnoliopsida, Poales, Poaceae. The record is from RefSeq and is a predicted model, not a curated record.
CGCAUCCUACCGUGUAUAUCACAUCGGCGGUGGCGGUCGCUGCCACCGCGCUCCAUGACGCCGGCGACUCUGUCCUCGGGACCUCGGCCUGGAUCCGCGCCCCAUGACGCCCGUGACUCUUCCUGUAUCCGGGCGCGGCAGAGACGGCCCUGCCCCUCACGCAUCCACUGGAGGAGGAGGAAGAAGGCCUGGCGCCCUGUAUCCCCUGUCAAGGAAGACCUUGCUUGCCACGGUGAUGUUGUUGUAUGUACAUCAGAUAACCUCAUUUAUCUCACGAUUUUGUGGAACACUGGAGUGAAGAACAACAGAUUUUGCUAACGCUAUGUGGCUGUCUUCCAAUAUGGUUCUGCCGUGCUCUUGAAUAUUGCUGAUCAUGAAGUUGAGCACUAUCUUGAUAUGAUCAGGAAUCAUGCUUGAUAUGAGGAAAGACGGUGCGCAAGGGCUCCCGCGAGGCAUGCAGCGCGCGUGUGUGAAUGUGCAGAUGCGAGGCGGUGGAGGGCUCAACAAGACUAAUGGGAGGAUCAUCAGACCAACAUUAUCAAAUUGGCUGCUUCAAAUUUUGUUCGGGAAGCCGGCGGACAGCCAGAGCAGGAAGGCGUGGAGCUUGAGCUGCAACGACAACAACAACUUGGGGGUCAGCUGCAAAAACAACAGCUCAAGUUUUCAACCAAGUGUAAGGUUGCAGUCAGUCAAUGAUUGCAGUUCUACAAUGACACAUUCAGACUCUUGCAUCCAAAGUUAGAUAGGAACAUCGAAAGAAUCUCCGAAACUUAUUUACAGGCGACAGAAAACUUCACACCUAUUUUACCUCCAGUGGUUAAACACUCUUGUAGUUUUGACUCAGAUCGUGAAGCUAUCUGAAGCACCAUAGAUUGAGUUUGCAAGCAAAAGGAUCAGACAACCUGACAGUACAGGUAGCAGUCUUUUUCUUCCAAACUGUAGUAUUGAUGCCUGUCUUGCGGGUAAGUUACACUUGUGCGACCGAGAGGUCGACCAACAAGUUGUUGAUCUCUUAUUCUCCGAAACUUGAUCCUUAUAUAACUGGCUAUUAGUUAAUUUUGUUCAGGCCCCAAGUUUUUUAUUGAACUUUUGGUCUGUUUAAAAUACCAGUACACGAUAUUCAGGUCCAAAGUUAAGUACCAACCUAUUUGAGCAAGUUGGAAACACAUCCAGAUCUGGAGUAGUAGAAAUUCCUUAGUGCAUUGGGAUAUUGACCUGCAGGUACCGAAGUGUGUGCUGUUUUUCAACUCAACCCUGCUCCUGAUGAUUUUGUGACUGUUGAAAGACAGUAUGCACCUCAUAGGCUCACGACAUUCUCUCUGUAUAAUAUAAGCCAGCGUUAGCAGUUCUGUUGGGCUAAUAAAGUAGGGAGCCGCGCUACAUAAUGAUACAAAGAGGACACUUAAGGAGGUUUUGCAAGUGCUUCCAAUUUAAGUAUGCAUCUUCUUGAAUCAAAGUGCCAGAACAUGUAUCUUUACCUUGAGGUGUUUUUGUCUCCACGAAUGAUAUUAUCCUGACUUCGCAAUUGUAGCCUCGAUGCACUCUAUUGAUCUCAGUGGAGGAGCAUACACAUGUUUUUUGGGGUCCAUUCUAUGAGAUUUCAUUGUUUCAUAGUCAUUUAGCCAUGGAGGCGAACCGCUGGCAUCAUUGUGUUCCGGAUCAGAAUUGUGAAUGAACUAUGAAUUUUUUAUUUGUAAGAUGGAUAUUUGUGCUUAAGUACAUUUAUUCUUGCCUUCUUGUACAUGGAAAGGAACCAGGAGUUUAAGGUUCCAUAGAAUUUCC